RNAcentral lists this ribosomal RNA (383 nucleotides) under uncultured eukaryote. Its description in RNAcentral is "partial 18S ribosomal RNA". It matches the Rfam family "Eukaryotic small subunit ribosomal RNA", at positions 592 to 976 of the family's 1831-position model. The record is from RNAcentral.
CAAUAGCGUAUAUUAAAGUUGUUGCGGUUAAAAAGCUCGUAGUUGGAUCUCGGCAGGCAGGGGGUGGUUCGCUCUUAGCGCUACUGCCCCAUUUGCCUGUGUGAUUGGCGGAGGUUUCGGGGUGCUCUUCGUUGAGUGACCCGGGGCGCCGUCAGGUUUACUUUGAAAAAAUUAGAGUGCUCAAAGCAGGCUUUUCACGCUUGAAUAUUCGUGCAUGGAAUAAUGGAAUAGGAACUCGUUUCUAUUUUGUUGGUUUUCGGAAAUCGAGUUAAUGAUUAAUAGGAACAAUUGGGGGCAUUAGUAUUCAGACGACAGAGGUGAAAUUCUUGGACCGUCUGAAGACUAACUACUGCGAAAGCAUUUGCCAAGAGUGUUUUCAUUAA